This 433-nucleotide ribosomal RNA is filed under the name uncultured bacterium. RNAcentral's name for it is "partial 16S ribosomal RNA". It matches the Rfam family "Bacterial small subunit ribosomal RNA", at positions 28 to 507 of the family's 1533-position model. The record is from RNAcentral.
GGCGAACGCUGGCGGCAGGCCUAACACAUGCGAGUCGAACGAACUCUUCGGAGUUAGUGGCGGACGGGUGAGUAACACGUGGGAACGUGCCUUUUGGUUCGGAAUAACUCAGGGAAACUUGUGCUAAUACCGAAUGUGCCCUUCGGGGGAAAGAUUUAUCGCCAUUAGAGCGGCCCGCGUCUGAUUAGCUAGUUGGUGAGGUAACGGCUCACCAAGGCGACGAUCAGUAGCUGGUCUGAGAGGAUGACCAGCCACACUGGGACUGAGACACGGCCCAGACUCCUACGGGAGGCAGCAGUGGGGAAUCUUGCGCAAUGGGCGAAAGCCUGACGCAGCCAUGCCGCGUGAAUGAUGAAGGUCUUAGGAUUGUAAAAUUCUUUCACCGGGGACGAUAAUGACGGUACCCGGAGAAGAAGCCCCGGCUAACUUCGUG